AUGAAUUUCUUGGCCUGGAACUGUCGAGGAUUGGGGUUGGACUCGACGGUAGGCGAACUCAGGGACCUGAUACGGUCAUACAACCCAGCGAUGGUUUUUCUUUCUGAAACAAAAAAGAAAGCGAGGGCGAUGGAAAAGCUUAAGUGGAGUUUGGGUUUUAGAAGCAGAGUUGCGGUUGAUUGCCAAGGUUUGAGCGGAGGGCUAGCUCUUUGGUGGAGAGAUAAUGUG
RNAcentral lists this ribosomal RNA (228 nucleotides) under Triticum aestivum (bread wheat). Its description in RNAcentral is "partial small subunit ribosomal RNA". The record is from RNAcentral. Lineage: Eukaryota; Viridiplantae; Streptophyta; Magnoliopsida; Poales; Poaceae.